GGGCGCCUGGCUGUCUCAGUCGGUAGAGCAUGGGAAUCUUAAUCUUGGGGUCGUGAGUGUCAGCCCUAUGUGGGGC
Lynx canadensis (Canada lynx) is the source of this 76-nucleotide long non-coding RNA. RefSeq lists it as uncharacterized. Lineage: Eukaryota; Metazoa; Chordata; Mammalia; Carnivora; Felidae. The transcript has 3 exons. The record is from RefSeq and is a predicted model, not a curated record.